GUAACAAAGCGACCCAGGAAUGCUUGGGCGUGCCUCCACCCACGCCGGCGUCGGCGGGCGUAUUUCGCCUCACAGUAGGUCGCCGCGACCCGUUGCUUUUGGGGACGUCGAAGGCCCGGACGGAUUGGUACCCUACCGGCUGGGGAUGCGGCUUCGGCUUCUCCUCUUGUCCGGUGGGCGAAACCGCCGGUGUCCUGGCUGCCCUGCGACGGUCGUAGAGACGAGCCCUCCCCUUCGGGGGGGCGGCUCUCGCGGCGUGCAAAAGGUCGGUGAUCCACCCGACCCGUCUUGAAACACGGACCAAGGAGUCUAACAUGUGUGCGAGUCAGUGGGCGCACUAAACCCAGAGGCGUAAUGAAAGUGACACGGGUUCGGCUGUCGCCUCGUGUGGCAGCCGGACUCAGGGCCGAUCCCUCACCGGUUGCCCUCGCCUCUCUCCCGCGUCUCGGUAAGCCGGGUGAGCUAUUUUCCCCGGCCGCUGCUGCGGGGCUCGGGGGGAGGCGGGGUGCGAUGGUGUCUGUAAAAAAGAGCCUGCUGUUGCAGGGGGGCGCAGGCCCGGGACUUGCCAGGACGCCGCGAGACUGUCACUUUGCUGUGAGGCUCUCGGGCCGAUCAGCGGGUCAUGCGUGCAGUCGGCAAGUACCAUGAGCAGACAUGUUGGGACCCGAAAGAUGGUGAACUAUGCCUGGCCAGGAUGAAGCCAGAGGAAACUCUGGUGGAGGUCCGUAGCGAUUCUGACGUGCAAAUCGAUCGUCGGAGCUGGGUAUAGGGGC
This 773-nucleotide ribosomal RNA is filed under the name Fallicambarus caesius. Its description in RNAcentral is "partial 28S ribosomal RNA". The stretch from base 300 to 773 matches the Rfam family "Eukaryotic large subunit ribosomal RNA", at positions 665 to 924 of the family's 3401-position model. Lineage: Eukaryota; Metazoa; Arthropoda; Malacostraca; Decapoda; Cambaridae. The record is from RNAcentral.